RNAcentral lists this ribosomal RNA (457 nucleotides) under uncultured bacterium. RNAcentral describes it as "bacterial SSU rRNA". It matches the Rfam family "Bacterial small subunit ribosomal RNA", at positions 340 to 786 of the family's 1533-position model. The record is from RNAcentral.
UACGGAAGGCAGCAGUGGGGAAUAUUGCACAAUGGGCGCAAGCCUGAUGCAGCCAUGCCGCGUGUAUGAAGAAGGCCUUCGGGUUGUAAAGUACUUUCAGUCGUGAGGAAGGUGUUAAGGUUAAUAACCUUAGCAAUUGACGUUAGCGACAGAAGAAGCACCGGCUAACUCCGUGCCAGCAGCCGCGGUAAUACGGAGGGUGCGAGCGUUAAUCGGAAUUACUGGGCGUAAAGGGCACGCAGGCGGUUAAUUAAGUUGGAUGUGAAAAUCCCCGGGCUUAACCUGGGAAUGGCAUUCAAGACUGGUUAGCUAGAGUCUUGUAGAGGGGGUAGAAUUCCAUGUGUAGCGGUGAAAUGCGUAGAGAUGUGGAGGAAAUACCGGUGGCGAAGCGGCCCCUGGCAAAGACUGACGCUCAUGUGCGAAACGCGUGGGGAGGCAAACAAGGGAGUUAGAUACC